UAGGGAAUCUUCGGCAAUGGACGAAAGUCUGACCGAGCAACGCCGCGUGAGGGAAGAAGGUCUUCGGGUCGUAAAACUCUGUUGUUAGAGAAGAACAAGGACGUUAGUAACUGAACGUCCCCUGACGGUAUCUAACCAGAAAGCCACGUCUAACUACGUGCCAGCAGCCGCGGUAAUACGUAGGUGGCAAGCGUUGUCCGGAUUUAUUGGGCGUAAAGCGAGCGCAGGCGGUUUCUUAAGUCUGAUGUGAAAGCCCCCGGCUCAACCGGGGAGGGUCAUUGUAAACUGGGGGACUUGAGUGCAGAAGAGGAGAGUGGAAUUCCAUGUGUAGCGGUGAAAUGCGUAGAUAUAUGGGGGAACACCAGUGGCGAAGGCGGCUCUCUGGUCUGUAACUGACGCUGAGGCUCGAAAGCGUGGGGAGCAAACAGG
RNAcentral lists this ribosomal RNA (429 nucleotides) under Gemmatimonadota bacterium. RNAcentral's name for it is "Gemmatimonadetes bacterium partial 16S ribosomal RNA". It matches the Rfam family "Bacterial small subunit ribosomal RNA", at positions 355 to 776 of the family's 1533-position model. The record is from RNAcentral. Lineage: Bacteria; Pseudomonadati; Gemmatimonadota.